RNAcentral lists this small nucleolar RNA (92 nucleotides) under Castor canadensis (American beaver). RNAcentral's name for it is "Small nucleolar RNA SNORD27 (ENSCCNG00000031288.1)". The stretch from base 1 to 71 matches the Rfam family "Small nucleolar RNA SNORD27". From Rfam's summary of the family: U27 is a member of the C/D class of snoRNA which contain the C (UGAUGA) and D (CUGA) box motifs. Lineage: Eukaryota; Metazoa; Chordata; Mammalia; Rodentia; Castoridae. The record is from RNAcentral.
ACUCCAUGAUGAAUGUACAAUGACAAGCAUAUGACUGAAGUCUAAGUGAUGUCAUCUUAGUACUGAAAAAUGGGCCAGAGGGAGAGAGGAGU